Molecule: long non-coding RNA, 483 nt
Organism: Anguilla rostrata (American eel)
Lineage: Eukaryota; Metazoa; Chordata; Actinopteri; Anguilliformes; Anguillidae
Exons: 3
Source: RefSeq, a predicted model, not a curated record
UUUCUGUCCUGCCAAGUGUGCCAGAAGAAACGAUCUUACACCAGGGAGUGGAAAGCAAAGAUGACUUGCAGUACAUAAGAGAACAGGAAAUUGCAGAGGUUAUUCGACCAAUUCAGUGCAGAAAACUUUUAAAUGCAUGGAAAUGAGCAGGUUUCUGCCUCUGCUGCUGACGUUGAGAGGUCCUUAACUUUGCCUGACAGUCCUCGAUUGAUUGUUCUCGAACUCGCCUCCGCAGGCGAGGACCCCGUGGCGACGGAACCUCUCCAAACUUCGCUAUCCCUCACUGACCCCCUGUGACGACUUCACGGUCGCAGGAGGGCUAUGGAACUGCCAGUCUGCUACGCGGAAGGCUGACUUCAUUUCAGCCUACGCGUCCCUCUUCUCCCUACAUUUCCUUGCCCUCACUGAGACCUGGAUCACACCAGGCAACACUGCAACCCCUGCAGCCCUCUCCUCCUCCUUCUCCUUUCUCACGCCCUCCGC